Molecule: unclassified non-coding RNA, 427 nt
Filed under: Hevea brasiliensis (rubber tree)
Lineage: Eukaryota; Viridiplantae; Streptophyta; Magnoliopsida; Malpighiales; Euphorbiaceae
Source: RNAcentral
AUAACCCACUAUAAGAAAACUUGAUAUUUAGUUUUUGGUAAGAGAUUGAAACAAGAAAAAAAACAAGAAAUUGGAAGAGAAUUGAAGAUUGAAGUUGGUCACUACACAAUGGAUUCAGAGGUCUCUUCUUGGCUACGUGCUUGCAAGACGUCGACUGAAGAAAGGCUUGGGAGAGCAAGAACAAGUUGAUGAAGAAGGUUCCAACGGAGCAUACAUCGAUUUGGGUUAGGAAACCUCACCUUUCUUUUCAAUUUAGGAAUUCUACAAUUUAGGGAUUAUUAUUUUAGGGGGUAUUAGGCCUGACUAGAUCUUCUUAGGCUAAUUAGGCAUGCUGACAUGAAGUUGUUGUUAAGUUUAAUGGCUAGUUUUGAUGACAGGGUAGAAUUAAAUUGAAUGCUAUAGGUUGGAGUGAAAUUGUUAAAAAAAA